This 114-nucleotide non-coding RNA is filed under the name Drosophila pseudoobscura. RNAcentral also lists the same sequence under 1 other name. The record is from miRBase by way of RNAcentral. Lineage: Eukaryota; Metazoa; Arthropoda; Insecta; Diptera; Drosophilidae.
UCAAAUGAGAAUGAAAUGAGAUACUUUAGGUUAUAUGUUUUUACCUUCGGUUUUUUGGUAUCUGAAGUAACUACAUAUGAUCGAGAGUGCCUCUGUUUCUUGGCCACAUUCGAC